UACGUAGGGUGCAAGCGUUGUCCGGAAUUAUUGGGCGUAAAGAGCUCGUAGGCGGUCUGUCGCGUCGGAUGUGAAAAUCCAGGGCUCAACCCUGGACCUGCAUUCGAUACGGGCAGACUAGAGUUCGGUAGGGGAGACUGGAAUUCCUGGUGUAGCGGUGAAAUGCGCAGAUAUCAGGAGGAACACCGGUGGCGAAGGCGGGUCUCUGGGCCGAAACUGACGCUGAGGACCGAAAGCGUGGGGAGCAAACAGG
RNAcentral lists this ribosomal RNA (253 nucleotides) under uncultured bacterium. RNAcentral's name for it is "partial 16S ribosomal RNA". It matches the Rfam family "Bacterial small subunit ribosomal RNA", at positions 524 to 776 of the family's 1533-position model. The record is from RNAcentral.